Alosa alosa (allis shad) is the source of this 935-nucleotide long non-coding RNA. RefSeq lists it as uncharacterized. The record is from RefSeq and is a predicted model, not a curated record. Lineage: Eukaryota; Metazoa; Chordata; Actinopteri; Clupeiformes; Clupeidae. The transcript is spliced from 3 exons.
CGCUAUUCUUUUCCCCCGAUAGAAACUGCAUUACACAAAUGUUAAACAGAGUUGCAGAUACCCCCAUCCUUCUGUGUGUGCACUUCAUUCGUCUUGCCCUGUGCAUUCAACUGGUCUUAACCACUUUGCUACACACUCACCUUGCAAUUUGCAAUCAACGAUGGAUUUGACUCUAUACUUAGAUAGAGUCAUUGCUGCAGCUGGGAGAUUAGUGAAACAUUUCCAUCACAGUACUCCCGCUACCAAAUCUUUGGAGGCUAAGCAAUAAUAAUUACGACUUCAAAAUCACCGCCUAAUACAGUCCUACAAAACCCAAUGGAAUUCGGUGUGUGACAUGUUUGACCGGCUGUUGGAGCAAAUAUGGGCUGUUACGGCAGUCCUCUCGGAUCGUUUAAUGACCAAUGACCAAGGCAGCUGAUGGAGGACUCACUACCUGUGUUAAAGGCACUUUACAGUUUAGUGUGCCACUACGGUUAUGUCUGCUGAUAAUGAAGUCUCCAUCUCCAGCACAUAUCCCAUCACAUUCAGUCUAAUAAAUACACAUAUCACCUCAGAAGAAGGAGACUGUCCCAAAAUAGCAGCAUUCAAGUCCAAAGUGCAGUCUCGGCUAAAUAUCGAUUUGGAUGGCUUGCCAUCAACACCAGCAAUGAUUGCAACGAUGUUAGACCCUCGCCCUAAACAUUUAGGAUUCCUUUGACAAAAAUGAUUUCAAAUACCAAACUACUGAAAUUGGCCACAGCAGUGGAUACGACUGCCAGUGCCACUGAAGUCAAACCUAGUCAUGGGACCACCGGCGUAUACGUGGAGACAGGUGUCAGUGCAGAUGACGCACUGCCGCGGAGGAAAAGUGCAACUGCAAGUGCCAUGGCUGUGCUAUUGGGGGACAAUUGCCCCACUCAACAAAAUGGCGUAUGCAGAAGUUGCAUCACUACAAA